AGAGUUUGAUCCUGGCUCAGAACGAACGCUGGCGGCAGGCCUAACACAUGCAAGAUCGAACGCCGUAGCAAUACGGAGUGGCAGACGGGUGAGUAACGCUGUGGGAACAUACCACUCGGUUCGGAAUAACUCAGGGAAACUUGAGCUAAUACUGGAUACGUCCGAGGUUUUAAUCGACCUCGGAGAAAGAUUUAUCGCCGGAGGAUUGGCCCGCGUCUGAUUAGCUUGUUGGUGAGGUAAUGGCUUACCAAGGCGACGAUCAGUAGCUGGUCUGAGAGGAUGAUCAGCCACAUUGGGACUGAGACACGGCCCAAACUCCUACGGGAGGCAGCAGUGGGGAAUAUUGGACAAUGGGCGAAAGCCUGAUCCAGCCAUGCCGCGUGAGUGAUGAAGGCCUUAGGGUUGUAAAGCUCUUUUACCCGGGAAGAUAAUGACGGUACCGGGAGAAUAAGCCCCGGCUAACUUCGUGCCAGCAGCCGCGGUAAUACGAAGGGGGCUAGCGUUGUUCGGAAUUACUGGGCGUAAAGCGCACGUAGGCGGAUCCUUAAGUCAGGGGUGAAAUCCCGAGGCUCAACCUCGGAACUGCCUUUGAUACUGGGGAUAUCGAGUUCGGGAGAGGUGAGUGGAACUGCGAGUGUAGAGGUGAAAUUCGUAGAUAUUCGCAAGAACACCAGUGGCGAAGGCGGCUCACUGGCCCGGUACUGACGCUGAGGUGCGAAAGCGUGGGGAGCAAACAGGAUUAGAUACCCUGGUAGUCCACGCCGUAAACGAUGGAUGCUAGCCGUUAGACAGCUUGCUGUUUAGUGGCGCAGUUAACGCGUUAAGCAUCCCGCCUGGGGAGUACGGUCGCAAGAUUAAAACUCAAAGGAAUUGACGGGGGCCCGCACAAGCGGUGGAACAUGUGGUUCAAUUCGACGCAACGCGAAGAACCUUACCUGGGCUUGAACCGCGCAGGACCAUCCCGAGAAAUCGGGACUUCCCGCAAGGGACUUGCGUAGAGGUGCUGCAUGGCUGUCGUCAGCUCGUGCCGUGAGGUGUUGGGUUAAGUCCCGCAACGAGCGCAACCCUUACUCGUAGUUGCCACCCGCAAGGGGGAACUCUACGAGGACUGCUCCGGAUAACGGAGAGGAAGGUGGGGAUGAGGCCAAGUCAGCAUGGCCUUUAUGUCCAGGGCCACACACGUGUUACAAUGCGCGCUACAAAGCGUCGCGAACCCGCGAGGGGGAGCUAAUCGCAAUAAAGCGCGCUCAGUUCGGAUUGUAGUCUGCAAUUCGACUACAUGAAGCCGGAAUCGCUAGUAAUGGCGCAUCAGAACGGCGCCGUGAAUACGUUCCCGGGCCUUGCACACACCGCCCGUC
RNAcentral lists this ribosomal RNA (1358 nucleotides) under uncultured bacterium. Its description in RNAcentral is "partial 16S ribosomal RNA". It matches the Rfam family "Bacterial small subunit ribosomal RNA". The record is from RNAcentral.